AGAGUCGGCUGGGCAGUCGCUGUUUUAUCGUCAAGAUAAAAUGGAGGAAAGUCCGGGCUCCAUUGGGCAGGGUGCCAGGUAACGCCUGGGAGGCGCGAGCCUACGGAAAGUGCCGCAGAAAAUAUACCGCCUGUCACUUAUGGCAGGUAAGGGUGAAAAGGUGCGGUAAGAGCGCACCGCGCAACUGGUAACAGAAGUGGCAUGGUAAACCCCACCCGGAGCAAGAUCAAAUA
This 233-nucleotide RNase P RNA is filed under the name Methylococcaceae bacterium. RNAcentral describes it as "partial RNase P RNA component class A". It matches the Rfam family "Bacterial RNase P class A", at positions 1 to 234 of the family's 367-position model. Rfam says of the family: Ribonuclease P (RNase P) is a ubiquitous endoribonuclease, found in archaea, bacteria and eukarya as well as chloroplasts and mitochondria. Its best characterised activity is the generation of mature 5'-ends of tRNAs by cleaving the 5'-leader elements of precursor-tRNAs. Cellular RNase Ps are ribonucleoproteins. The record is from RNAcentral. Lineage: Bacteria; Pseudomonadati; Pseudomonadota; Gammaproteobacteria; Methylococcales; Methylococcaceae.